CCCUUAGAUGUUCUGGGCUGCACGCGCGCUACACUGAAGCUAUCAACACGUUUUCCCUCCCUGAGAAGGGCGGGUAACCUUUUGAAUCAGCUUCGUGGUAGGGAUCGGGGCUUGCAAUUGUUCCCCGUGAACCAGGAAUUCCUAGUAAGCGCGAGUCAUCAGCUCGUGCUGAUUACGUCCCUGCCCUUUGUACACACCGCCCGUCGCUCCUACCGAUUGAGUGCUCAGGUGAAUAAUUCGGACUGCAGCAAUGUUUGGAUCCCGAACGUUGCAGCGGAAAGUUUAGUGAACCUUAUCACUUAGAGGAAGGAGAAGUCGUAACA
Molecule: ribosomal RNA, 323 nt
Filed under: uncultured eukaryote
Lineage: Eukaryota
Description: partial 18S ribosomal RNA
Rfam family: Eukaryotic small subunit ribosomal RNA
Source: RNAcentral